AGGACGAACGCUGGCGGCGUGCUUAACACAUGCAAGUCGAGCGGAAAGGCCCUUCGGGGUACUCGAGCGGCGAACGGGUGAGUAACACGUGAGUAACCUGCCCUUGGCUCUGGGAUAGCUCCGGGAAACCGGAAUUAAUACCGGAUAUGACUUCGGCCGACAUCGGCUGCGGUGGAAAGAUUAUCGGCCAGGGAUGGGCUCGCGGCCUAUCAGCUUGUUGGUGGGGUAACGGCCUACCAAGGCGACGACGGGUA
RNAcentral lists this ribosomal RNA (254 nucleotides) under uncultured bacterium. Its description in RNAcentral is "partial small subunit ribosomal RNA". It matches the Rfam family "Bacterial small subunit ribosomal RNA", at positions 26 to 285 of the family's 1533-position model. The record is from RNAcentral.